CAAGUCGGACGGGAUUGAAGAGCUUGCUUUUCAUGAGAGUGGCGCACGGGUGCGUAACACGUAUGUAACCUACCCAUAUCAGGGGGAUAGUCUCUCGAAAGAGAGAUUAAGCCCGCAUAAAAUCACAGUACAGCAUUGUAUAAUGAUCAAAUAUUUAUAGGAUAUGGAUGGGCAUGCGGAACAUUAGCUAGUUGGUAAGGUAACGGCUUACCAAGGCUACGAUGUUUAGGGGAUCUGAGAGGAUGACCCCCCACACUGGUACUGAGACACGGACCAGACUCCUACGGGAGGCAGCAGUAAGGAAUAUUGGUCAAUGGGCGGAAGCCUGAACCAGCCAUGCCGCGUGCAGGAAGACGGCCCUAUGGGUUGUAAACUGCUUUUGCAGGGGAAUAAACCUACCAAUGUAUUGGUAGCUGAAUGUACUCUGAGAAUAAGGAUCGGCUAACUCCGUGCCAGCAGCCGCGGU
Molecule: ribosomal RNA, 466 nt
Filed under: uncultured bacterium
Lineage: Bacteria
Description: bacterial SSU rRNA
Rfam family: Bacterial small subunit ribosomal RNA
Source: RNAcentral